UUGAAGUGAUGUAUUCAAGUCUCUUCACCAACAACUUUUCAACUUUAUCUUACACCUUUUUUGGAUCUAUGUUAUACUUUAUAUUGAUUAAGAGAUGUCAAGAUGUGAAGAACAACAAGAUCUCAACAACAAUUUCUCAAGAACACCACCAACAUUCACCUCCAAGUCCACAACAAUUGCAAUACACGGCCAAGAUCAACAAUAUCAACACACGACCAACUUCCAAUUUACAUCAACAAGGUCAACAACAUAAGCUCAAACCUUUAGAUUUAGACACUUUAGUGUUGGUGAGAAAGAAACCAACACUAGAAACUAUCUAAACAAACAAAAGACUACGAGAUCUAGCCACAAAGAAACAUGUCUCGGCCAAAAACAAGAACAACUUCUACACUUUUUUUUUUGUAUUUUUAAGCUAGCCAGCCCAAGAUUGAUCUUGUGAAAACAAAAUCAAGUCAUGCUUUGAUACCAAAUGAUACAAGAUCGACAAGGAAGACACUAACACACACCAAAACAGUCCAUGAUUUGAAGAACCGAGGAUCCCUUUUGGUGAUCCCUCUCGGAUUCACUACACAAUAACAAUACAAGCAUGAUAACAAUAAGAUUCUAAGGUGUUUAACACCUAUAAUCAGCGAGCCACAAACUAAGAUUACAACACAAUAACAAAAACAAAAAUGACACAACAAGAUCUCAGGUUUGGACGCCCAAAACCAAGAAUGAACACAACAACAAUAAUAAGAUAGAAUGAUAGAUAACUUGACACACAAUGCACAAACACUAUGAACCAAAGUGUAUAUUGAACACUAAGACCCA
This 810-nucleotide long non-coding RNA is filed under the name Capsicum annuum. RNAcentral's name for it is "long non-coding RNA (CANN_LNC008842)". The record is from RNAcentral. Lineage: Eukaryota; Viridiplantae; Streptophyta; Magnoliopsida; Solanales; Solanaceae.